RNAcentral lists this ribosomal RNA (462 nucleotides) under uncultured bacterium. Its description in RNAcentral is "partial 16S ribosomal RNA". It matches the Rfam family "Bacterial small subunit ribosomal RNA", at positions 28 to 507 of the family's 1533-position model. The record is from RNAcentral.
GACGAACGCUGGCGGCGUGCUUAACACAUGCAAGUCGAACGGAAAGGCCCUUCGGGGUACUCGAGUGGCGAACGGGUGAGUAACACGUGGGUGAUCUGCCCUGCACUUUGGGAUAAGCCUGGGAAACUGGGUCUAAUACCGGAUAGGACCACGGCAUUCAUGUGCUGUGGUGGAAAGCUUUUGCGGUGUGGGAUGGGCCCGCGGCCUAUCAGCUUGUUGGUGGGGUAAUGGCCUACCAAGGCGACGACGGGUAGCCGGCCUGAGAGGGUGACCGGCCACACUGGGACUGAGAUACGGCCCAGACUCCUACGGGAGGCAGCAGUGGGGAAUAUUGCACAAUGGGCGCAAGCCUGAUGCAGCGACGCCGCGUGAGGGAUGACGGCCUUCGGGUUGUAAACCUCUUUCGCCAGGAACGAAGCGCAAGUGACGGUACCUGGAGAAGAAGGACCGGCCAACUACGUG